Long non-coding RNA from Syzygium oleosum, 1042 nucleotides. RefSeq lists it as uncharacterized. The transcript has 3 exons. The record is from RefSeq and is a predicted model, not a curated record. Lineage: Eukaryota; Viridiplantae; Streptophyta; Magnoliopsida; Myrtales; Myrtaceae.
UACAUGUCUUUCUUUUCCUAAUAACUUUGUUUUGCUUUGAGCAUGGUACUUUUCCCUUAGAAUUUGUUUAUUUCAUUUAUAUAUUGGCUUUAGCUUUAGAGGACUUGUGGGCUAGGAAGCAUGGACACUCUUCGGGGCUUCCGUGUCAGUGUUGGACGCGUGUCACACACCAACACACGGUCAACAGGUGGUACAUCUGACACGUGGUCAACGCUCCAAGUCCAACAUUUCGACACGCAUGGUGGCCAAUUUUAAACAUAUUCAAUAAAUUAGGGGUCAAAACGUAAAAUCAUUCUAGGCUCUUUUUUAUUAUUUAUUUAUUUGUGGAUUUGAACUAAAUUAAUUUGAUUGAAAUAAUCGUAAAAAUGAUAAUUUAUCAUGUAUAUAUAAAAAUAUAUAGUUAAUAUACAACAUGUCCCAACGUGUCGGAAUUUUCUAUUUAUUGAGAAAUGACUUGUUGUCGCGUUGUGCCGUGUCGUGUCGUGUCGUGUCGCGUGUCAGUGUCGGUGCUACUUAGCUUGUGGGGCUGCUGUUUUAGUGAACUCAUAUGCGUAUAAUCCAUUUUUUAGUUGAAACACAAUAGAGAUAUGGAUUAGAAAGCUCAUGCUCUCCACAGUUCUGAACUUUGAAACUAAUAUCGUGGUGUUGACUUUGUGACCUUAUUUCCUCUGUCCAGGUGUCGUGGAUCAUUGAAUUAAGAACUGUUCAGAGUUGCUAUCUGUGGUCUGUCUCAUCGGCUCCCUUUCGAGUUCACAUGGACAUGGCUUGCUUUCUUCACAUUGUACGGUCACAGACGCAAUUGCUGACGAAGGGCGAAUGACGUGAUCAUGGUGAUUCUUCUUACAGUGACAUUCUUGCUUAGAUUUGAAAAAUAAAUAUUUAAUUCCUGUCCGUCCUUGUAGAUAUUUUUGUGCGGCAGAUGAGUUUCACCUUGUAGACACUGUAAAUUGGUAUAUACUCUUAUAGAUGGAUCUCUAUUUUUUGUACAAACACGCCUUUUAUAUAUUGCUAUAAGAAAGAUGAAUGUGACGAAUGAUGGAAA